RNAcentral lists this ribosomal RNA (576 nucleotides) under uncultured bacterium. RNAcentral's name for it is "partial 16S ribosomal RNA". It matches the Rfam family "Bacterial small subunit ribosomal RNA", at positions 355 to 923 of the family's 1533-position model. The record is from RNAcentral.
UGGGGAAUUUUGGACAAUGGGCGAAAGCCUGAUCCAGCAAUGCCGCGUGUGUGAAGAAGGCCUUCGGGUUGUAAAGCACUUUUGUCCGGAAAGAAAUCCUUGGCUCUAAUACAGUCGGGGGAUGACGGUACCGGAAGAAUAAGCACCGGCUAACUACGUGCCAGCAGCCGCGGUAAUACGUAGGGUGCAAGCGUUAAUCGGAAUUACUGGGCGUAAAGCGUGCGCAGGCGGUUUGCUAAGACCGAUGUGAAAUCCCCGGGCUCAACCUGGGAACUGCAUUGGUGACUGGCAGGCUAGAGUAUGGCAGAGGGGGGUAGAAUUCCACGUGUAGCAGUGAAAUGCGUAGAGAUGUGGAGGAAUACCGAUGGCGAAGGCAGCCCCCUGGACCAAUACUGACGCUCAUGCACGAAAGCGUGGGGAGCAAACAGGAUUAGAUACCCUAGGUAGUCCACGCCCUAAACGAUGUCAACUAGUUGUUGGGGAUUCAUUUCCUUAGUAACGUAGCUAACGCGUGAAGUUGACCGCCUGGGGAGUACGGUCGCAAGAUUAAAACUCAAAUGAAUUGACGGGGUCCUA